CGCCUCUUUAUCAAAAACAUAGCCUUAAGAAAUGAUUUAAGGUAAGCCCUGCCCAGUGGAAAUAUUCUUAACGGCCGCAGUACCUUGACUGUGCUAAGGUAGCGUAAUCAGUUGGCUUUUAAAUGGAGUCCAGAAUGAAUGGGGCCAUGGGGAGAGACUGUCUCUUUCUUGUUUAAUUAAACUUGCUUAAUAGGUGAAAAUACCUUUAUUAAAGAAAAAAGACGAGAAGACCCUUAGAGCCUAACAAUAUAAUGUAUUUUAUUUGUUUUUGUUGGGGCGACAAGAAGACAAAUAUAAAAACUCUUCUUUUAUACUAAACGAUUAUAAUAUAAAAGAGCAGGCUACCUAAGGGAUAACAGCAUAAUUAUAUUUUAGUUUGUGACCUCGAUGUUGGACUAGGAACUUGAUGACUAGUCGUCAAUAAAGGAAAGU
This 432-nucleotide ribosomal RNA is filed under the name Carychium occidentale. RNAcentral describes it as "partial 16S ribosomal RNA". It matches the Rfam family "Bacterial large subunit ribosomal RNA", at positions 1797 to 2576 of the family's 2925-position model. The record is from RNAcentral. Lineage: Eukaryota; Metazoa; Mollusca; Gastropoda; Ellobiida; Ellobiidae.